Molecule: ribosomal RNA, 301 nt
Filed under: uncultured bacterium
Lineage: Bacteria
Description: partial 16S ribosomal RNA
Rfam family: Bacterial small subunit ribosomal RNA
Source: RNAcentral
CAGUAGCCACGGUAAUACGGAGGGUGCAAGCGUUAAUCGGAAUUACUGGGCGUAAAGCGCACGCAGGCGGUUUGCUAAGUCAGAUGUGAAAUCCCCGAGCUUAACUUGGGAACUGCAUUUGAAACUGGCAAGCUAGAGUCUCGUAGAGGGGGGUAGAAUUCCAGGCGUAGCGGUGAAAUGCGUAGAGAUCUGGAGGAAUACCGGUGGCGAAGGCGGCCCCCUGGACAAAGACUGACGCUCAGGUGCGAAAGCGUGGGGAGCAAACAGGAUUAGAUACCCCUGUAGUCCCUGUCUCUUAUAA